AUGUCUUCCUCCUCCGCCUCCGGUGCCUCCUCCUCAAACCUCAAUAGCCAGGUCACGGAGAAGCUGUCCCGCACGAACUACGUGCUAUGGCGAACACAGAUCAUCCCCCAAUUGCGUGGCGCCGGCAUCUACGGCUACAUCGACGGCACCACACCGGAGCCGGCGAAGCUCCUCAUCACCACCAAAGAUGGCAAGGAGACUUCAUAACCCAACCCUCUCCACCCUGUAUGGGUCCGGGAGGACCAGCAGGUCCUUGGCUUCCUGCUGGCCAACCUCACAAAGGAGGUUCUGGUGACGGUGACCACGGUCACCACGGCGAGCGCGCUCUGGACGACGCUCGCUACCAUGUUCUCGUCGCACUCGGCGAGCCGCAUCAACAACAUCCGCACCUCCCUCAUCAACGCGCAGAAGGGUAAUCUCUCGGUUGCCUCUUACUUUGCUGCUAUGCGCGGAUAUGCAGAUGAACUAGCCGCGGCGGGCAAGGCCAUCCAGGAUGACGAACUAGUCUCCUACAUCAUCCACGGGCUAGACGCCGAUUACCAGCCUCUGGUAUCUGCUCUCGACGCUCGUGUCACCCCCGUCACACUCGAUGAACUCUAUGCCAUGCUCUCCAACUUCGACCAGCGCGUGGCUCAUUACCACGGGUCCGGCGGCGGCGGCUUCAAAUCUUCAGCCAACAUGGCGUCGCGUGGGCAGGGUGGCGGCUCCCGUUCACGUGGCCCUCCUUGCAACAAAGGGCGAUCUGGUGGCGGCGGCGGCAGUGACCAUGGCUCCUCUCCUCAGCGCACAGGCGGCAGAGGCCGUGGCCGUCGCAGUCGUGGCAGCGGAAACAGGACGCGCCCCGACACUCCAUGA
This 855-nucleotide ribosomal RNA is filed under the name Triticum aestivum (bread wheat). Its description in RNAcentral is "partial small subunit ribosomal RNA". Lineage: Eukaryota; Viridiplantae; Streptophyta; Magnoliopsida; Poales; Poaceae. The record is from RNAcentral.